This 335-nucleotide ribosomal RNA is filed under the name uncultured Anoxybacillus sp. RNAcentral's name for it is "bacterial SSU rRNA". It matches the Rfam family "Bacterial small subunit ribosomal RNA", at positions 1046 to 1382 of the family's 1533-position model. The record is from RNAcentral. Lineage: Bacteria; Bacillati; Bacillota; Bacilli; Caryophanales; Anoxybacillaceae.
UGGUUGUCGUCAGCUCGUGUCGUGAGAUGUUGGGUUAAGUCCCGCAACGAGCGCAACCCUCGACCUUAGUUGCCAGCAUUCAGUUGGGCACUCUAAGGUGACUGCCGGCUAAAAGUCGGAGGAAGGUGGGGAUGACGUCAAAUCAUCAUGCCCCUUAUGACCUGGGCUACACACGUGCUACAAUGGGCGGUACAAAGGGUCGCGAACCCGCGAGGGGGAGCCAAUCCCAAAAAGCCGCUCUCAGUUCGGAUUGCAGGCUGCAACUCGCCUGCAUGAAGCCGGAAUCGCUAGUAAUCGCGGAUCAGCAUGCCGCGGUGAAUACGUUCCCGGGCCUU